This 718-nucleotide long non-coding RNA is filed under the name Olea europaea subsp. europaea. The record is from RNAcentral. Lineage: Eukaryota; Viridiplantae; Streptophyta; Magnoliopsida; Lamiales; Oleaceae.
UGAAUACUGAUAAUAUGAUUAAAAGAGCAAAGUCAUUAUCCAUUACAUCCUAAUCACACUAUCGAGUCAUAAACAACAUAAUUGAAAUAACAACAUCAGUACAUUAAUAGCUAUACAACUCAAUCAUUUCCCUUUCCUUUCUUAUCCCUUUUCGUACUUGCUCUUCCUUUACGUAUUGUCACGUUCACAUAAAUCUUCAUGUCCUGCUUAUUAGUUAAUCGACAUAGAGUUUCAAACAUGCUUGAAAGAUCUUUAGCUGAACUAGAUUCACUACUCAUUUCAGUAGCUUAACCCACUCCCAAUAUCCACAUUUCACACUACAAGAAUUAAACGGUCUGCCUUUGUUGUCAUUCUCCUUCUCCACUUUAAAACACUUCGUCAUUCUCCACUUUAAAACACUUUAUGAAGGCAUGCUUACACCAUGGGCAAGGACAUUUCCUUGGACAUUACGCAAAAGAAUGACCCUCCUUUCUACAAUUAUGACAAACUCCUUGAUUGUUUUCCUACCAUUGUCAAUUAGGACUCAACCACAAAAGAUCGAAUGUCAAUAAUCCAAGCAGUUUGUUAAUGUAAAAAAUACAUACAACACUAUAACAUGUGCAUAAGCUGAAAAAUACCACAAACAUAAUCAUAUUUUGAUUUCAUGACCUUUAUAAAAUGGGAAGCAUAUGUAGUAUCGAGCCAAAAAAAACAAGCAAAUGAUAACGAGAUACAAUUC